CGAAAAUAGUGUAGCGCAUUUCGGUGAAAAAAAAAAUGAUAUCGGGUGGCUGACGAACGUUUCCUGAAAACACUGCGUGCCAUCGGGCGAUUAACUCGAGGAAAAAUUGGCCUCACCGCGGGAAAAAAAAGUGGGCGUCGCAGCCGAUGAACUCUGCUCGUUUCUUUUCGCCUCGGGCCUUUUAACGAUUUCGCGCCCAGACUCUUCUCUCUUCCUCUCUUUCUCUCUCGAAUGCGAAGCUCGACGCUUCAUGACGAAGAUUCCCCAAGCUUUGGACUAAAAUUCUCCAACGGACACGCGAUAACAGCCAGUGUGUGUUACACGAUAAUCGCGAACGUUACGCCUAUGGUGGAAUUAAACGGUUUGCGGUUUCGUAUAAUCCAUUAUACAAGCCAUUGAUGAUGCAGUGUGAAUCUGGUAACGGAAUAACAAGGUAACGGAGAUCCGGGAUUUCACGUGGCAGACAGUCUGAGCUUGGAAUUCGUGGAACAAGUGGCCCGAACAAUAAUGCUCGUAUGCGUACGCAUAUUUGUUUCCGCUCCCUUUGAGACGAAAUUGCUCGAGAAGAACGCGCUUCUCAGACGUUCGUCAAUUCUCUUUUUCUAUUUCUUUCUUUCUUUUUUCAACAAACUCGAGCAGUGUGCACAGAGAAAGAGAAAAAAACUAGGACAAGACGUAGCUCUUUUCUUCUAAGAGUAAAGAUGAUUGGUCGAGAAAAUUAUUUAUAGUUCUCAAUCGUAACGAGAGAAGGCGCAACGAGUACAGAACGAAUCGGCAAAGAAAAUAAGAAACAUGGCGAAUCAUUGGAAUCCAUUUGAUUUCUUCGGGUGAAUGUUACAAAGAAAAAAAUAAUUUGCGUUCUUUUGUCUCGUUGGAUGAAUUAGAAAAGUGAAUUCAAAUAUAUAUAUAUAUAUGUUGAAAUGUGAAUAUCAAUUAUAAUUAGUUACUAUAUAUAACAGUGUUGUGAAAAAUGAGAAGAAACUUUCGAAUGUUUUCUGAACGCGAGAUAUCCAACGGCUCAUUUUUUUCGCAUCGGUCGAUCAACGAAUUUGUGCCUUCUGUUUUAAUUACCUCGAGUGAAAUUCUCUGUGCAUCGCUACAAACAAAGGAAUCAAGUCAAUAUCAUUGUAUAGGAUGGAUCAUGCUGUUCCACUCGUGAAGGAUUUUCGGCCAUACGAUAUAUUCCACUUUCACGAUUGCGUGUAAGCGAAAUGAUAUUUCUAUUUUUCACUCGGGAGGGAGAAAAGAAGGAGAAGAAAAUUCAAAGAAGCCAUUUGUCGAUUCGAUUCGAAAAUUUAUGUAUUGUACUCGGGAGGAAGAAUCGACACAAGCUGCUGCAUUUGCGGCCAAUAAACUAAAGAGGACUCGAAGGCAAGGGCAGUUAAGACAGUAACCCUCUCCCUUGGUAUGAAAAUCGAAGGGAACGAAGAGAGAGAGAAUCAUCGAAUUUUACGACGUCGUAUCGAUGCAAUAUUCGUCGUGGAUGGCUCGUGGAAAUAUCUUUGGAUGGCGGAGCCGCGUCCUUCCCUAAAGUCUCUCGCUUUAAAGCGAAAGGGAGGGCCGUUAAAUGCGAAAAUAGGGUAAACUUCUCGUCAACGCGUACCGUCUUGAUUCGAAAAUAUCCCGAGGCGGGGAGAGGAGGGGGUGGCGAUGUUCGAUGCAAGAGGCGAGAAACGGCGGAAUCAAAUAAAUAUACAAUCAGAAAAAGGAGGGAGGGAGGGAGGGAGGGCGGUUCUACUUUGAACGAAUGCUCGGCUCGACCCCAACCCUCUUCGACUAAAUUUAUCCUCCCCCGUGUUUGCUCGCCGACUAUUUAUUUUCUACAUUUAUGGAAUAUCUGAACUGUAAGCUUCUAGCCUCGACUAAACAAACCGUAAAGCGCGUUUAAAACGUGUUGGAAUAUAUGCGUCUCUGACAAUGUUGUUGUCUCGUGUCCGCUUUUUAAUUAACAAUUAACGAUUUUUCGAGUAACGUUCGUUCGAGUUUGAGUGUGAAAUAUCGUUUUAAGCGAGGGGGAGUUUUUUUUAAUUAUUUUAAAUAUUUUAAAAGAACGUUGAUAAUAUAGAAAUCAGUAUUUUAGAAAAUAGUAAUGAAUCUAAAACGUCUUUAGUUUAUUUAGAAAAUUUUAAAAGCAAAAAGAAAAAGAACUAUUAUAAAUUAAAGAAUUGGAAAAUUUGAAUUAUAGAAAAAUUAGAUUGAAAUAACAUAAAUUGAAUUAAGAUAAUUUUUUAAUAAUAAUCUGCAUUAUGAUUAAUUAGUUAAAAGAAAUCAUCCCUCAUAAAUUAUUUUAUUUUAAAAAUAUCUUUUCAAAAUUUCUAUAAAAUUUUAUGGUAAAAGGAAUAAUAAUUAUUCCAUUACAGAUUUAAUAUUACAUUGCUUAAUUUUCCCCAAGAAUUAUUUUCCCACCAAUUUUUCACAAUGGAAAAACUUCUUUCUCGUUCCCAAAGUUUUCAUCAUCGUCCGUCAAAAAUUUAAUUUUUCAUAACAAAUUUCAAUAUCAUUUUAAAAGCUUGCAAACAAAUAAUCCUCAUGACCUAAUUCCACCCAAUAAAUCCAAAAAAAAAAAAAAGAAAGAAAGGAAAAAAGUAGAUGAAUAACAUCAAUUUGUAUAAAACGUUUCUCCACGAAUAAUACUCGAAAGUGUAUGUUCUUACUAGGUAACUACCCUAAAUAAUUUCCAACCUCGAGGAGGAGAUGGAAAGCAAUGGAAAAUAAUGGCGAUCUCGAAAUUGGAGGGGAAAAAAAAACAAGGAGCGGAAAAUCGUAUGCGCACGCCUUGUAAAAAUAUCCAGGAGGAUCUCGGGGAGAUUAGUUAACAAGAUUACUUACGACUGUCAGCGCUCUGUAAGCAAGUUUCUGAAUAGGGCGGGUAUGGCGGGUUGUGGCGCGGAUGAUCUACUAUGCAGUCAGCCAGCCAUGUCAACGAUAUACAUUCAGCGCCCGGCAGCCGUGGCGCAAGUAGGGCUGCAAUGUCUGCGAAACGGUAAUGGAACGGCAAACGACCUGGGAUUUACCCCUUGGAACAUUCUAACAAAGCUCUAGGCCACCGCAGCAGCCACCUACCACGAAGAAGAGAGGGGAAAAAAAAAAAAAAAAUUGGACACGGUGAGAUGCGCUAUCUUCGAUUCGAGUGGAUCGAGUUAAUCCUGUCGAGAUGAAUUUUAAAUCUUCGCUAAUCUCCGCUCGCUUCCGUGAUCGUCGAUUUCGACGAUCAAUCGAAAAUGCGAGAGCAAUUAAUGUAAAUGUGACAUGAUACAUUUUAUUGGAUAUAUAAUUAUAGAUGUACAAUUUAUUUGUAUAUUGAAAAGUUAUAAAAAUAAUGAAAGGAUUUCAAUAAUGUGUUUGUAACGUGUUGCAAUAAAAUUGCAAUUCUUUCUAGGAUAUAUAAAAUCUAUUGAAAAGUUAUAAAAAUAAUAAAAGGAUUUCAAUAAUGUGUUUGUAAUGUGUUGCAAUAAAAUUGCAAUUAUUUCUAAUAUAUAUAUACAAUUUAUUUGUAUAUUGAAAAGUUAUAAAAAUAAUAAAAGGAUUUGUUAUUUCUAGUGUGGACAUAAAAUUGAUAAAAUCUUGGAGAAGGGAUUAAGGAUCUUUUGUUGAGUUUCGUGAAAACAUAAGAAUAAUAAUAUGUGAUAUAAUUUGUGGACAUACUUUGAUAAAAUCUUCGAGAAGGGGUUAAGGAUGUUUCAUCGAGUUUCGUGAAAAUAUAAGAAUAAUAAUAUAUGAUAUAAUUUGUGGACUUUGAUAAAAUCUUCAAGAAGGGGUUAAGGAUGUUUCAUCGAGUUUCGUGAAAAUAUAAGAAUAAUAAUAUGUGAUAUAAUUUGUGGACUUUGAUAAAAUCUUCAAGAAGGGAUUAAGGAUGUUUUAUUGAGUUUGUGAUAUAAUUAUAAGUAUUUUUCUAUUUUCGAAAGAGAUAAAAUAUUUGAGAAACGAAUAAAGAAAAUGGAAAUUUCUCUCGCGUGUAAGUUUUCAAAUAUUGGAUAAAUUUUGCGAAAAGACUCUCCAAGGUGCCAUACUCUCUUUACGCCCGAGCUGACAUAGAUAACGGUCUAAAAGCCUCGCGAGGUGAAGUCGACGAUAUGACGGCCACGAAAGAGCUCGUAAAAAUCGCUAACGGAAUUAAUGGCCUCGAUGGCCGUGAAGACGAGGAGGAGCAACAACGUCGUUAAAAAAUCCAUCCAGUGACGACGGACCAACGUUUCGAACGUCAAUUAUGUUUUCGCACGUCGAAAGGAGAACAUUUUUCGAAGGGUUGGCGAACUUUGUUCGCGGUGGUAAUCCGUUUUAAAUCGACAGGGUAGGGGGGAGGGAGGGGUGAAAAGUUGCGGAGAAAAAUGUCGCAGCGUCGACGAGAUGGAAUUGAAUUCGGUCGAAUUCAGAACGCCUUGUACUAGGGAGCUUCGAGGUAUUUCGAGGUACACGUAGGAAUAUAGGGAAUCACCUUGGGAGAUAUUUUUCGGGGGAGGGAAAACUAUAGUGAUGACGCGUGUUGUUGGAAUCUACUUAUUUAGAGUACAAGUAUGUCGAUAACAUAGUAAUUUUCAACUCUCAAUGUAGUGUCUAUUUUAAUAGGAAAUAAUUCUUGAAAAUAAUUUUUGCUUGAAGAAAGUUUUGCUUUCAAAUGUAUUUAAUUAAGGAUUGUUAAUCUUGGAUGGUUGCAUUCAACGUCUAUGUCUACUGUUUGAAGAAACUUUUCAAGAGCAACAAUUUUAAUUUUAAUUUUAAUUUUAAUUUUAAUUUUUCUCAAAUGUAUUUGUAUUAUAAGGUUAGACAAGUUUUGCAAGUUUUAAAGUUUUAAAGUUUGAGUUAAAUUGCAUUGUAUUAUGGUAAAGUUUUUAGUUUACUUGGUAUUUAUGUUAGCAAAAGUGAUAAUUUUGAAAUAGAAGGAAUGAUGUGUCAACGAUCUUUGCGAUGUAGGAUCCAAUUUCCUUGUUUAAUUAUUAUAGUUACGUUGAUCGUGGUUAGUAUUUGGAUGGAUGCCAUUUGGAAAGUCCGUGUGUUGAUAUCAAAAUGUUUCUUAAACUAUAAACUUCGGCUAAUGAUUGCAUUGAUUAUGAUAAUCGAUAUUGGUUACACAACGAAUAACAAACAAAUAGCAAAUAAUAAUUUUGCCAGCAGAGGGAUCCAAUGAUUGCAAUUUGAUAAUCAAGUUAAUACUUAAUUGUGUACAGUAGCUCGAAAUCCACUUUAAACCACUUUAGAGUUUCAACUAAUAAUUACAACAGUAGAUUAAAUACCAAAUAACAAACAAAUAUCAAAUAAUAAUUUUGCCACGUAGAAAUCCACUGAUUCCAAUAUAAUAACCAAAGUUAAACUACAUUGGUCACGGUUAAUACUUGGUUGAUAUAUUGUUUAAUAAUGACUCGGAACUCAUUUAUCUAACAACAACGUUAAAUAAUGAACAACAAUAAUAUUUACUUUCGUCUGACAGUUUCAAGAAAAAUAUAAAAAUAACACUGUAUCUACAUUGUAUGCGAUAAGUUAUAAUAUUUGAAACGAUUAUGUAGAGAAAUAUGUAAUCAAAAUUUAAUUACAUUGAUCAUUUGAUUAAUAUAUAAUUGGCAAUAAUUCAGAACUAUCUUUAAUUUAACAAAUACAUUGAAUAACGAACAACAAAUAAAACACGGAUACUUAUAAAUUCUAA
Long non-coding RNA from Apis mellifera (honey bee), 5638 nucleotides. RefSeq lists it as uncharacterized. The record is from RefSeq and is a predicted model, not a curated record. NCBI's taxonomy places the organism in Eukaryota, Metazoa, Arthropoda, Insecta, Hymenoptera, Apidae. The transcript is spliced from 10 exons.